GUCGGGGUAGCUCAGUUGGUAGAGCACAGGACUCAUAAGCCUGGGGUCGUGGGUUCGAUCCCCACCUCCGACACCA
This 76-nucleotide transfer RNA is filed under the name Candidatus Vogelbacteria bacterium RIFOXYD1_FULL_44_32. RNAcentral describes it as "tRNA-Met". It matches the Rfam family "tRNA". Rfam says of the family: Transfer RNA (tRNA) molecules are approximately 80 nucleotides in length. Their secondary structure includes four short double-helical elements and three loops (D, anti-codon, and T loops). The record is from RNAcentral. Lineage: Bacteria; Candidatus Vogeliibacteriota.